RNAcentral lists this ribosomal RNA (515 nucleotides) under Pachypus sp. ZFMK COL DA3330. Its description in RNAcentral is "partial 16S ribosomal RNA". It matches the Rfam family "Bacterial large subunit ribosomal RNA", at positions 1819 to 2600 of the family's 2925-position model. The record is from RNAcentral. Lineage: Eukaryota; Metazoa; Arthropoda; Insecta; Coleoptera; Scarabaeidae.
GUCUUUUUGAUUAUAAUUUAAAGUCUGGCCUGCCCAAUGAGUAGUUAAAUGGCUGCGGUAAUUUGACCGUACAAAGGUAGCAUAAUCAUUAGUUUUUUAAUUGAAAGCUGGAAUGAAAGGUCGGACGAGAAAAUGACUGUCUCAAUUUAAUUUAAAUUAGAAUUUUAUUUUUAAGUAAAAAAGCUUAAAUAAUUUUAAAAGACGAUAAGACCCUAUAGAAUUUUAUAUUUUUUUAAAUAACGGUUUAUUAGAAAUUUUUUUAUUUUUAUUUAAAAACGUAUUUUGUUGGGGUGACAGAAAAAUUGAAUGAACUUUUUUUUAUUUAUAUCAUUAAUUUAUGAUUAAAUGAUCCAUUUUUUUAUGAUUAAAAGAUUAAAUUACCUUAGGGAUAACAGCGUAAUUUUUCUCAAGAGUUCAUAUCUAAAGAAGGGAUUGCGACCUCGAUGUUGGAUUAAAAUGAAUUUCUGGUGUAGAAGCUAGAGUGAUUAGGUCUGUUCGACCUUUAAAAUUUUACA